UACGUAGGUGGCUAGCGUUGUCCGGAUUUACUGGGCGUAAAGAGCGCGCAGGCGGUCGUUCAAGUCGAGUGUGAAAGCCCCCGGCUCAACUGGGGAGGGUCACUCGAUACUGAUCGACUCGAAGGCAGGAGAGGGAAGCGGAAUUCCUGGUGUAGUGGUGAAAUGCGUAGAUAUCGGGAGGAACACCAGUGGCGAAGGCGGCUUUCUGGCCUGUUCUUGACGCUGAGGCGCGAAAGCUAGGGUAGCAAACGGG
RNAcentral lists this ribosomal RNA (253 nucleotides) under uncultured bacterium. RNAcentral describes it as "partial 16S ribosomal RNA". It matches the Rfam family "Bacterial small subunit ribosomal RNA", at positions 524 to 776 of the family's 1533-position model. The record is from RNAcentral.